AGGCUGAAACAAUGCAAUUUCAUCUGCAGUUUCGAAAUCACACAGGCAUCUUCUUCACAGGCUGAUUUUUGUGCUACAUCAAAUUACACAAGAAUUCAGACUCGAGAGGUUACUGUCUCAACAAACAAUUCAUCCUUUCUACUUUUUACAAGUCCUAACAGUGAGCUCCAAGCAUGUCAUGAAUUAUAGAAUACAAAUAGUGUAAAAUCCUAUACUCACCAGGAGAUCCAGAGGGCUUUCCUCGGCCCUGCCCUUCUACCACGAUGCUCUGCCUCAUCUAGAGCCCACAGCAAUGGAGUCAGCUCACCACAGACUGAACCCCUGGAACUUCACAAAGUGAUCAACAGAUUGCUCCUCCAUAUGCUCUUUCCAUGAUGUGCUACCUCAUCACAAGCACAAAAGCAAUGGGUCAAUCAGUCAUGGAUUGAAACCUGCAAAAUUCCUGAUGACUACAGUUUGUUCUGGACAAUGUACAAGCUUGGAAGCAAGAUACAUUAACAUGAGGCUAGUCUCCAAUGCAUCUCAGACAUGAUUCCCCACCUACCUCCAAAACGAUAUCCAGCUGAUACUAAAGACGAUCACCAAUGUUCCAGAAAGAGCAUCUCUCUCAAGUGAGGAGCUAAAAUGGUUGUAGCAAACUCUUUUCAUUUUCCCUUACCUCAUCUUUUGAACAACGAACUCUGUGUGGAUUCCCAUCGACUUCAAACAAAUGCAUCCUGAGAGCAUCUCACCUCUUGCCAGUGUCUUGAACCUUUUAGCCUCCUACCUCCGGGGCUUCUCUGUUGAUGCUGAGACAUAAAAGUAUACCUGCUUGGCUUAA
Non-coding RNA from Ictidomys tridecemlineatus (thirteen-lined ground squirrel), 820 nucleotides. The record is from RefSeq and is a predicted model, not a curated record. Lineage: Eukaryota; Metazoa; Chordata; Mammalia; Rodentia; Sciuridae.